AGACCAAUCGAAUAGUCAAAUUAUAGAUUUUUAAAUUAACCGCUUCAAAAAAAUAUUAACGGUUACAACUUAAAAACAACCAAUACAGAAAACCAAUAAUAAUGGAUGUCAUCUAGCCUUUGCUUCCCAUGACAAUUUCAAAGUAAACCCAAACAAACAGAAGCUUCUUUGCCUACUGUCUACUUUCCUUUUACAUCUUCAAAAAUGAAAAGCAUAAGCACCAUUGCAUCUCUGUCUGUUUAUCUUCUUGUACUUUAUUCAUCAAGAUCUCAGUCGUCUCUUCUACCCAAAUUCAUUUACCAGAUGUUUCCCACCCUUGUACUCUUCUUUUCACCCCUUAACAACC
This 346-nucleotide long non-coding RNA is filed under the name Gossypium barbadense (sea-island cotton). RNAcentral's name for it is "long non-coding RNA (GBAR_LNC005347)". Lineage: Eukaryota; Viridiplantae; Streptophyta; Magnoliopsida; Malvales; Malvaceae. The record is from RNAcentral.